RNAcentral lists this ribosomal RNA (490 nucleotides) under uncultured bacterium. RNAcentral's name for it is "partial 16S ribosomal RNA". It matches the Rfam family "Bacterial small subunit ribosomal RNA", at positions 29 to 507 of the family's 1533-position model. The record is from RNAcentral.
AAUGAACGCUGGCGGCAUGCCUUACACAUGCAAGUCGAACGGCAGCAUGACCUAGCUUGCUAGGUUGAUGGCGAGUGGCGAACGGGUGAGUAAUGCAUCGGAACGUGCCUUUUAGUGGGGGAUAACGUAGCGAAAGUUACGUUAAUACCGCAUAUUCUCUGAGGAGGAAAGCAGGGGACCUUCGGGCCUUGCGCUAGAAGAGCGGCCGAUGUCGGAUUAGCUAGUUGGUGAGGUAAAGGCUCACCAAGGCAACGAUCCGUAGCGGGUCUGAGAGGAUGAUCCGCCACACUGGGACUGAGACACGGCCCAGACUCCUACGGGAGGCAGCAGUGGGGAAUUUUGGACAAUGGGCGCAAGCCUGAUCCAGCCAUGCCGCGUGAGUGAAGAAGGCCUUCGGGUUGUAAAGCUCUUUCGGCUGGGAAGAAAUCGCACCCUCUAAUACAGGGUGUGGAUGACGGUACCAGCAUAAGAAGCACCGGCUAACUACGUG